GAACUUCCGUUAAUUGAUUAUGACGUACUUGUACUGAUUGAGAUUUUAACACGAAGUGAGUGGCGAACGGGUGAGUAACACGUGGGUAACCUGCCCAGAAGUAGGGGAUAACACCUGGAAACAGAUGCUAAUACCGUAUAACAGAGAAAACCGCAUGGUUUUCUUUUAAAAGAUGGCUCUGCUAUCACUUCUGGAUGGACCCGCGGCGUAUUAGCUAGUUGGUGAGGUAAAGGCUCACCAAGGCAGUGAUACGUAGCCGACCUGAGAGGGUAAUCGGCCACAUUGGGACUGAGACACGGCCCAGACUCCUACGGGAGGCAGCAGUAGGGAAUCUUCCACAAUGGACGCAAGUCUGAUGGAGCAACGCCGCGUGAGUGAAGAAGGGUUUCGGCUCGUAAAGCUCUGUUGUUAAAGAAGAACGUGGGUAAGAGUAACUGUUUACCCAGUGACGGUAUUUAACCAGAAAGCCACGGCUAACUACGUGCCAGCAGCCGCGGUAAUACGUAGGUGGCAAGCGUUAUCCGGAUUUAUUGGGCGUAAAGCGAGCGCAGGCGGUCUUUUAAGUCUAAUGUGAAAGCCUUCGGCUCAACCGAAGAAGUGCAUUGGAAACUGGGAGACUUGAGUGCAGAAGAGGACAGUGGAACUCCAUGUGUAGCGGUGAAAUGCGUAGAUAUAUGGAAGAACACCAGUGGCGAAGGCGGCUGUCUGGUCUGCAACUGACGCUGA
Molecule: ribosomal RNA, 726 nt
Filed under: Pediococcus pentosaceus
Lineage: Bacteria; Bacillati; Bacillota; Bacilli; Lactobacillales; Lactobacillaceae
Description: bacterial SSU rRNA
Rfam family: Bacterial small subunit ribosomal RNA
Source: RNAcentral